ACAAUCUUCAUCAACAUGACCUUCAUCAUCAUCUUCAUCUGGACUCUCACAGCGUUUGCUCAAGAGUGUAGAGGACAGAUCACCGUCACUCAGAGUCCCUCAAUGACAGCAGCUCAACCAGGACAAACUGUGAACAUCAACUGUAAAACCAGCAGUAGAGUGUAUAAUGGAAAUUAUUUAGCCUGGUACUUACAGAAACCUGGAGAAGCUCCUAAACUCCUGAUAUAUGGAGCAAGCACCCUCCAGUCAGGAACUCCAUCUAGAUUCAGUGGCAGUGGAUCUAACAGUGAUUUCACUCUGACCAUCAGUGGAGUCCAGACUGAAGAUGCUGGACAUUAUUACUGUCAGAGUUUCCACUAUCCAAACAGUCAACGUGUGUUCACUUUCGGUGGAGGAACUAAACUGACCAUCACUGGUCCCGCAGUGAAGCCCUCCGUGUCUCUGCUGCCGCCCUCUUCUCUGCAGAUCUCUGGAGACUCAGCCGCACUGCUCUGCCUGCUCAGCUCUUACUCUCCACAGGGGGCGACGGUGAGCUGGACGCUGGACGGGUCAGAGGUCACCGAGGGGGUUCAGACCAGCGCAGAGAGCGAGCGGGACGGACGCUACAGCCGCAGCAGCGUCCUGAGCCUCAGCAAAGCACGCUGGGAAGGCGCGGAUCGCUUCGUCUGCAGAGUAAGACAUGACGGAGCUGAUCACGAGGCCUCGUUCCUCAAGAGCUCCCAGUGCUGAUGUUUCUCCGCUCCAGACGAGCCGUAUCCGAGCGUCCGGCAGGAUUCGCAGCAGUCACGUGAUUUACAGCUCAAUACUGAAGCAGUCUUUCAAUGUGCUGCCAUUGCUGUUCAUUCAAUAAAGCUUCUGAACGCGUUA
This is a non-coding RNA of Megalobrama amblycephala (Wuchang bream), 867 nucleotides long. NCBI's taxonomy places the organism in Eukaryota, Metazoa, Chordata, Actinopteri, Cypriniformes, Xenocyprididae. The record is from the annotation of a RefSeq genome assembly.